RNAcentral lists this ribosomal RNA (253 nucleotides) under uncultured bacterium. RNAcentral's name for it is "partial 16S ribosomal RNA". It matches the Rfam family "Bacterial small subunit ribosomal RNA", at positions 524 to 776 of the family's 1533-position model. The record is from RNAcentral.
UACGGGAGGUGCAAGCGUUGUUCGGAUUGACUGGGCGUAAAGAGCACGUAGGCGGGUCCAUAAGUCGGAUGUGAAAUCCCCAGGCUUAACCUGGGAACUGCAUCCGAAACUGCGGAUCUUGAAUACUCGAGAGGUUGGUGGAAUUCCUGGUGUAGGAGUGAAAUCCGUAGAUAUCAGGAGGAACAUCGGCGGCGAAGGCGGCCAACUGGUGAUGUAUUGACGCUGAGGUGCGAAAGCGUGGGGAGCAAACAGG